GCCUAACGGCUGAACCAGCAACUUGGAAGAAUGUAUAUCGACUCUGUCGAAUAAAGUUCUAGUUAAGUUAUGAUAAUGACAUUUCUUAACUAUGUGUCUUGACCAAAUCACGUGCCAGCAGUCGCGGUAAUACGUGGAAGACUAGUGUUAUUCAUCUUUAACAGGUUUAAAGGGUACCUAGACGGUAAAUCCAGCCCCAAAAGGGUACUAAUUUACUAGAGUUUAAUAAGAGAAGGGGAGUACUGAUGAGUGGAGAGAUGAAAUUUUAUGAUACCAUUAGGAACAGACAAAGGCGAAAGCGACCUUUUACAUAAAAACUGACGUUGAGGGACGAAGGCUUUAGUCGUGAACAGGAUUAGAUACCCAAGUAAUUAAAGCAGACAAUGAUGAAUGUCAUAGAUUAGUAGCCACUUACUAUUAAUCUAUAAAUGAAAGUGUAAGCAUUCCACCUCAAGAGUAAUGUGGCAACGCAGAAACUGAAAUCAUUAGACCGUUUCUGAAACCAGUAGUGAAGUAUGUUGUUUAAUUAGAUAAUCCGCAAAAGACCUCACCACAAUUUGUAUAUUAUUAUUUUUUUAUAAUACAAGCGUUGCACGGCUGUCUUCAGUUAAUGUCGUGAGAUUAGGUUAGUUCCAUUAAAUUAACGUAAACCCUUGCUUUAUUUAUAUUAUAAAGUAGAUCACCGCUAUAUUGGAUGUGAUAAUAGGGACUAAGACAAGUCAUCAUGGCCUGAAUAUUGUGGGCGAUAGACGUGCCACAUAAUCGGAGACAAAGGGAUGCAAAAUUGUGAAAUAUAGCUAAUCCCACAAAAUCCGACAAAAUAUGGAU
RNAcentral lists this ribosomal RNA (828 nucleotides) under Pertusaria sp. Printzen 1998. RNAcentral's name for it is "SSU rRNA". It matches the Rfam family "Bacterial small subunit ribosomal RNA", at positions 374 to 1298 of the family's 1533-position model. The record is from RNAcentral. Lineage: Eukaryota; Fungi; Ascomycota; Lecanoromycetes; Pertusariales; Pertusariaceae.